GACAGAGGUGGCGAGCGUUGUUCGGAAUCACUGGGCUUAAAGGGCGAGUAGGCGGUAGGGCAAGUCUGAGGUGGAAUCCUAUGGGUCAACCAUAGAACUGCCUUGGAAACUGUUCUACUUGAGUCAGUGAGGGGAGGGCGGAAUUCCCGGUGUAGCGGUGAAAAGCGUAGAUAUCGGGAGGGAGGCCGGUGGCGAAGGCGGCCCUCUGGCGCUGUACUGGCGCUGAGGCGGGAAAACGUGGGGAGCAAACAGG
RNAcentral lists this ribosomal RNA (253 nucleotides) under uncultured bacterium. Its description in RNAcentral is "partial 16S ribosomal RNA". It matches the Rfam family "Bacterial small subunit ribosomal RNA", at positions 524 to 776 of the family's 1533-position model. The record is from RNAcentral.